CAGGAAAUGUUUCGUUCUUCCAAGUGUUCGAUCAUGGCAUCGACAAGGAACACUCCGGUUACUCCAGUGAGAUUCACAAGGUUAUCAGAACGAGCGGCGUAUAUCAUGAGUUCGUCGAAGAGUUCUGGUCCGAUGAGGUAGUUGUCUUGUGUAGUAGAAGUAGUACCAAGUGACAGCUCGGUGUGGAGUAUGACUUCUCUUGCGUUGGUGAGUCUCUGCUGUGUUGAUAUGAGACCUGUGUUGCUUAAGCAUCGGAGGACGUUAGAGACAUGGCUGAUAAGACUGGAGAUCGCUUGAUAGUUACCACUACUUGUUGAGUUCUUCAACGAAGCUGCGGAGUUUUCAAGAACGUCCCAAUCAGGUUCUACAGGCUCUAGAGGCAGCCUUAUCUGUCCUGGAACUACAAAAUAUCAUAACAGCAGGUUCAGAUACAAGAAACUGAUGCUUUUUCAUAGAAAUUAGGUAAUGUCUGAAUAAUAAUCUUAUGGACCUGAGAUAGUGUCAAAACUAUUUGAGAAACAACUCUCAUUAGAGAAAGAUGCAUCCAGUACAGAACCAGGGCUUGUGUAAUCACUGUUUGCAUUUCCUAUCAUCUCUGUUUUGCCUUUCCUCUGCAAGAAUCAAGAAAGCAAGAAUGAAUAGAAAAUGAGAAAAUACUAAAAUGUGUAAACCUUUAAGCAUACCCGCCGACGAGCUGUUUCUGCAUAAGGCUGCUGGUGUGCUAUUGAAGAUAGCAACUCAUGGAGAAUCAAAGAUGCUUGUUUAUUGGGAAAUGCACUUUUUAUUAUGGCUUCAUCUUCUUCUUGUGAAGCAAACUCUUUAAGCUUUUGCUGAAUCAAACCCACAGUACCAGCAUCAAGUGUUGUUCUUGGGUUACUUUCACCCAUCUGACUUGGAACACCUUUGGUUUCUCUACAGCGUUGGCUAUAGUUUCUAUGAGGGGAACCAUUACUACAAGUGCUUUCACCAUCUAAUGGACUCAUAGAGCUACUUCCUUGCACUUGACCACUUACACAAGCUAACCUUCUCUUCCUUCCUGGAGUGCUUAACCCUGAUCUAUUAGAAGAUUCCUCAACUCUAGUGUAAGAUUUUCUCUGUACAUUCAAAUCAGAGUUCUCAAAUCUAGCCUUGGAGUGAUGAUGACUCCUGCUGGUUGAAGCUCUAUUCAUGGCAACAAAGUCCUUCUCUUUACAGUUGAUUGCAUUUACAGGUGACGAAGAACAACCUCUUUUGCUCUGAAAGGUGUGAGAUUGAGCUACCAAAGGAAACCUUGCAGGAUGUGGAGCCUUCUUCUCCAUUGGAUCUGUGAACUCUCUACCUUUACCAGAGGCUACAGACAUAGAUGGUUCUUGAUUUCUCCAAAACACAUUUCUUUUACUCCUUUCAAAAGGCGUUGAUUCAGCAACACACGCCAUGUUCUUUCCAAAUUCUUCUUCAGCUACGGGACUAGAACCGUGAACAUCAACAAAGCUACCACAAGCUUUACAAGAAGCAACACUAUUGCUGCUAUUAUAACCAUGUUGAAACUCGGGUGAAACAACUGGCUCUUUCCCAACAUUAUUGAGCCUUCUAACGCCUGAAGAGCCUGGAUAAGCAAUGGCGUGUUUCGCAUUUCUCUUUCCCAGUUCCAGAAUCCUAGCAGCAGCAUCGAUCAACCUAGAGUUGCGUCUAUUAUGAAGCCUGGGGCUUCUAACAGGAGGAGAAGCAAGUUUCUGAUGCUGAUGAUGGCUAUUGUACUUUCGGGUCAAAACGUUCUUAAUCUGCAAUGCUUCUGAUCCAAACUUCUUCACCAUAACACCACGCCUAUCACUCACACUUGUUGUUGUUCUCUGCAUCUUCUGUGGCCUUGACUUAUCAAUACCAUUAUCUUCUUCUUCUUCCUCAUCAAACAAACCACACUUAUUGUUGUUGUCGUGAAUCUGCUGAUACAAUGGUUUCUUCUUCUUCCCUUUGUCUCUGUGGUUAGAUGGUAAUGAGUCAAGUCCCAUUAAGCGUGCUACCAAACUAGGAGGUCUCAUAUCAUGCUUCUUAAGCUCCACAACUUCACCUCUAUUUGGGAAACCUCCUCUGUUCUCAUCAUCAAUCUUCAUCAAGGACACAAAUAAACAACUUUAGGUUGUUUCUACUCAAUUUUGCAAACUAAAAAUACACAAAAGGGUGGAAAAGUAAUCACCAGAUUAAGCUUAGAUUUGAGCAUUUUCUCAUCCCUACCAAACCUCUUUGAACCUUGUUUCCCUGACAAAAAAAUGCAAUAAAUAUAUAUUCUCUUUCAUUUUUUCAGACACAACCAUUAGAUAAACUUAGACAGAGAGAGAAAACAGACUAACCAGGAAGAAGUGAUUUGCGAGAAAAGAGCUUCCUUUUAGCAAAACGUCGGUUCCAGUUGAAGAGCUGGGAGAAAACACCGACGCAACCGCCUAACCUAUGAACUUCCUCAAGAACACCACGGAUCAGCAAGGAAGCAUCAGCACUCGAUGAAGGCUUUAAUCCGCAGGAAAUGUUUCGUUCUUCCAAGUGUUCGAUCAUGGCAUCGACAAGGAACACUCCGGUUACUCCAGUGAGAUUCACAAGGUUAUCAGAACGAGCGGCGUAUAUCAUGAGUUCGUCGAAGAGUUCUGGUCCGAUGAGGUAGUUGUCUUGUGUAGUAGAAGUAGUACCAAGUGACAGCUCGGUGUGGAGUAUGACUUCUCUUGCGUUGGUGAGUCUCUGCUGUGUUGAUAUGAGACCUGUGUUGCUUAAGCAUCGGAGGACGUUAGAGACAUGGCUGAUAAGACUGGAGAUCGCUUGAUAGUUACCACUACUUGUUGAGUUCUUCAACGAAGCUGCGGAGUUUUCAAGAACGUCCCAAUCAGGUUCUACAGGCUCUAGAGGCAGCCUUAUCUGUCCUGGAACUACAAAAUAUCA
RNAcentral lists this long non-coding RNA (2904 nucleotides) under Brassica napus (rape). Its description in RNAcentral is "long non-coding RNA (BNAP_LNC019064)". The record is from RNAcentral. Lineage: Eukaryota; Viridiplantae; Streptophyta; Magnoliopsida; Brassicales; Brassicaceae.